RNAcentral lists this ribosomal RNA (426 nucleotides) under Pseudomonas sp. RNAcentral's name for it is "partial 16S ribosomal RNA". It matches the Rfam family "Bacterial small subunit ribosomal RNA", at positions 356 to 774 of the family's 1533-position model. Lineage: Bacteria; Pseudomonadati; Pseudomonadota; Gammaproteobacteria; Pseudomonadales; Pseudomonadaceae. RNAcentral also lists the same sequence under 2 other names. The record is from RNAcentral.
GGGGAAUAUUGGACAAUGGGCGAAAGCCUGAUCCAGCCAUGCCGCGUGUGUGAAGAAGGUCUUCGGAUUGUAAAGCACUUUAAGUUGGGAGGAAGGGUUGUAGAUUAAUACUCUGCAAUUUUGACGUUACCGACAGAAUAAGCACCGGCUAACUCUGUGCCAGCAGCCGCGGUAAUACAGAGGGUGCAAGCGUUAAUCGGAAUUACUGGGCGUAAAGCGCGCGUAGGUGGUUUGUUAAGUUGGAUGUGAAAUCCCCGGGCUCAACCUGGGAACUGCAUUCAAAACUGACUGACUAGAGUAUGGUAGAGGGUGGUGGAAUUUCCUGUGUAGCGGUGAAAUGCGUAGAUAUAGGAAGGAACACCAGUGGCGAAGGCGACCACCUGGACUAAUACUGACACUGAGGUGCGAAAGCGUGGGGAGCAAACA